GCCGGAGUGGUGGAACUGGUAGACGCAGGGGACUCAAAAUCCCCCGGAGCAAGGCUUCCGUGCGAGUUCGAGUCUCGCCUCCGGCACCA
This 89-nucleotide transfer RNA is filed under the name Syntrophaceae bacterium. Its description in RNAcentral is "tRNA-Leu". It matches the Rfam family "tRNA". Rfam says of the family: Transfer RNA (tRNA) molecules are approximately 80 nucleotides in length. Their secondary structure includes four short double-helical elements and three loops (D, anti-codon, and T loops). The record is from RNAcentral. Lineage: Bacteria; Pseudomonadati; Thermodesulfobacteriota; Syntrophia; Syntrophales; Syntrophaceae.